Molecule: ribosomal RNA, 253 nt
Filed under: uncultured bacterium
Lineage: Bacteria
Description: partial 16S ribosomal RNA
Rfam family: Bacterial small subunit ribosomal RNA
Source: RNAcentral
UACAGAGGGUGCGAGCGUUGUUCAGAAUUACUGGGCGUAAAGGGCGCGUAGGCGGCCUGUUAAGUCGAACGUGAAAUCCCCGGGCUCAACCCGGGAACUGCGUCCGAUACUGGCAGGCUUGAAUCCGGGAGAGGGAUGCGGAAUUCCAGGUGUAGCGGUGAAAUGCGUAGAUAUCUGGAGGAACACCGGUGGCGAAGGCGGCAUCCUGGACCGGUAUUGACGCUGAGGCGCGAAAGCCAGGGGAGCAAACGGG